Molecule: ribosomal RNA, 700 nt
Filed under: uncultured bacterium
Lineage: Bacteria
Description: bacterial SSU rRNA
Rfam family: Bacterial small subunit ribosomal RNA
Source: RNAcentral
AGAGUUUGAUCAUGGCUCAGAAUCAACGCUGGCGGCGUGCCUAACACAUGCAAGUCGAACGCGAAAGUCCCGCAAGGGAUCAGUAGAGUGGCAAACGGGUGAGUAACACGUGGGUGACCUGCCUUCGAGUGGGGGAUAACGUCCCGAAAGGGACGCUAAUACCGCAUGACAUCCUGCUCUUGAACGAGUGGAGAUCAAAGCUGGGGAUCGCAAGACCUAGCGCUCAAAGAGGGGCCCGCGCCUGAUUAGCUAGUUGGUGGGGUAACGGCUCACCAAGGCAACGAUCAGUAUCCGGCCUGAGAGGGCGGACGGACACACUGGGACUGAGACACGGCCCAGACUCCUACGGGAGGCAGCAGUGGGGAAUUGUUCGCAAUGGGCGCAAGCCUGACGACGCAACGCCGCGUGGAGGAUGAAGAUCUUCGGGUCGUAAACUCCUUUCGAUCGAGACGAACGGCCUCCGGGUAAACAAUCCGGAGGAGUGACGGUACCGAGAGAAGAAGCCCCGGCUAACUCCGUGCCAGCAGCCGCGGUAAUACGGGGGGGGCAAGCGUUGUUCGGAAUUACUGGGCGUAAAGGGCUCGUAGGCGGCCAACUAAGUCAGACGUGAAAUCCCUCGGCUUAACCGGGGAACUGCGUCUGAUACUGGAUGGCUCGAGUGUGGGAGAGGGAUGCGGAAUUCCAGGUGUAGCGGUGAAAU